CCUGACCAGGACUCGAACCCGUGUCCCCUGCAUUAGCAGGCUGACUCUCAACCACUGUGCCACCAGGGAAGCCCCAGGGGCGUAUUUUUAACAUUUAACCAUCUGCAGUUGAUUUUUGCAUGUGGUGUAACGUAAGGAUCCAAUUUAAUCUUCUCUUCCAUAUGGACUGUCAUUUUUCCAGGCCUAAUUUUUGAAUUGAUGUGACAUACAAGCCAUAUCACAUACCAUAGCAUCCUACAUACGUGGUUCUGUUUAUGGACUUUCUUUUUAUUGGUCACCUACUUUAUCACUGCAUUGACCAUAAUGAGCCAUGGUAUCUGGUUAAGAAAGGCUCCCCUCUCUUUUUUUGUUUGUUUUUUUGUGUUUCAACCAGGAGUGUUCUGGCUAUUUUCACCCUUUUACUCUUUUAUGUCAAGUUUGGAGCCAUUUCAUCAAGUUCCAGGAAAAUCUCUGUUGGGUACUAGUCUGUGCUCUUUACACGUGCAGCUCAUUGAACCCUCACCACUACCUGAUGAAGAUUAACUUCCUAGAAGUGGAAUUACAACAAAAGAGAGUAUAAACACAUCUGACUACUGGAGCGAUAAGAAAGAUGUUUCUGAAAAAAAGCGACCAUUUCUUUGUUAGUGGCAAUGUAUAAAAACACUUGUUUUAUAAAAA
Aethalodelphis obliquidens (Pacific white-sided dolphin) is the source of this 657-nucleotide long non-coding RNA. RefSeq lists it as uncharacterized. The record is from RefSeq and is a predicted model, not a curated record. The transcript is spliced from 2 exons. NCBI's taxonomy places the organism in Eukaryota, Metazoa, Chordata, Mammalia, Artiodactyla, Delphinidae.